GAAAAGAAAAAGAACUCAUUAAGGUGCAUUUGAAUUUGAUAAGUCAAAAAAAGUAAUUGGAGUGCCUCGAUCUGCUCAAAAAAGUGAUACUAGUCCGUUUGAAUCUAGAAAAGCAAAAAAAGUGUUUGAAGUGGCUCAAGGUGCUAAGGAAACUGAAACUAGUCUGUUUGAAUUUAACAAGGCUAAAAAAGUGACUGAAGUGUCUCGGCAAGAUCAAAGAAGUUUGUUUGAAUCUAGAAAAGCAAAAAAAGUGGUUGAAGUGGUACAAGAUGCUGAGGGAAUUGAAACUAAUUUUGCAGGUCCAUGUGAAACAAAAAGGGCAAAGAAUGUGAGGGGAACAAAUAUUUGUAAGAAUGUUUUGCGAUUGAGACAUGGAGAAAAAUUAAAAGUCACUUUCUAUCAAAAUCGAGUCGUCAGGCAGAAUCACACCUC
Molecule: long non-coding RNA, 432 nt
Organism: Solanum stenotomum
Lineage: Eukaryota; Viridiplantae; Streptophyta; Magnoliopsida; Solanales; Solanaceae
Exons: 6
Source: RefSeq, a predicted model, not a curated record